Molecule: ribosomal RNA, 852 nt
Filed under: uncultured archaeon
Lineage: Archaea
Description: bacterial SSU rRNA
Rfam family: Archaeal small subunit ribosomal RNA
Source: RNAcentral
UUCCGGUUGAUCCUGCCGGAAGUCACUGCUAUUGGGGUCCGGCUAAGCCAUGCGAGCGGAGGGCGCGGUCGAAAGAUCGUGGCCCCGCACACGGCUCAGCAACACGUAGUUAACCUACCCUUGGGAUGGGGACAACCUCGGGAAACUGAGGCUAAUCCCCGAUAGGCGAGGGACGCUGGGAUGCCCCUUCGCCCAAAGCUCCGGCGCCUGAGGAUGGGACUGCGGCCUAUCAGGCUGUUGGUGGUGUAACGGACCACCAAACCUACGACGGGUACGGGCGAUGGGAGUCGGAGCCCGGAGAUGGGGACUGAGACAAGGCCCCAGGCCCUACGGGGCGCAGCAGGCGCGAAAACUCCGCAAUGCGCGCAAGCGUGACGGGGGGACCCCAAGUGCCGUUGGUCUUUUGAUCGACGGCUUUUCGGGAGUCUAAUAAGCUCCCGGAAUAAGGGCCGGGUAAGGCUGGUGCCAGCCGCCGCGGUAACACCAGCAGCCCAAGUGGUGACCACGAUUAUUGGGCCUAAAGCGCUCGUAGCCGGGUCAGCAAGUCCCUUGUGAAAUCGGGCCGCCCAACGGUUCGGCGUGCAAGGGAUACUGUUGGUCUUGAGGCCGGGAGAGGUCGGAGGUACUCCUGGGGUAGCGGUGAAAUGCUCUAAUCCUGGGGGGACCACCAGUGGCGAAGGCGUCUGACCAGAACGGACCUGACGGUGAGGGGCGAAGGCUAGGGGAGCGAACGGGAUUAGAUACCCCGGUAGUCCUAGCUGUAAAGCAUGCGGGCCAGGUGUCUGGCGCUCCUCGAGGGCGCUAGGUGCCGGAGGGAAGCCGUUAAGCCCGCCCGGCUGGGAAGUACGGCCG